GACGAACGCUGGCGGCGUGCCUAAUACAUGCAAGUCGAGCGGACUGAUUAAGAGCUUGCUCUUAUGACGUUAGCGGCGGACGGGUGAGUAACACGUGGGCAACCUGCCCUGUAGAUCGGGAUAACACCGAGAAAUCGGUGCUAAUACCGGGUAAUAUCUGAGAUCACAUGAUCUUAGGUUAAAAGAUGGCUCCGGCUAUCACUACAGGAUGGGCCCGCGGCGCAUUAGCUAGUUGGUAAGGUAAUGGCUUACCAAGGCGACGAUGCGUAGCCGACCUGAGAGGGUGAUCGGCCACACUGGGACUGAGACACAGCCCAGACUCCUACGGGAGGCAGCAGUAGGGAAUCUUCCGCAAUGGACGAAAGUCUGACGGAGCAACGCCGCGUGAGUGAUGAAGGGUUUCGGCUCGUAAAGCUCUGUUGUUAGGGAAGAAACAGUACCGAACGAACUAGGUCGGUACCUUGACGGUACCUAACCAGAAAGCCACGGCUAACUACGUG
This 500-nucleotide ribosomal RNA is filed under the name uncultured bacterium. Its description in RNAcentral is "partial 16S ribosomal RNA". It matches the Rfam family "Bacterial small subunit ribosomal RNA", at positions 28 to 507 of the family's 1533-position model. The record is from RNAcentral.